GGAAUGGUAAAAUGGUUGCACCCACCAUACUUCCAUGUACCUUUCUAGAGUCAGUAACCUCAUCGUUAAGGUGUUUAUAAAAAUGAUAAUACGUUCCUGUACCUGUCCAAAGUCUGGAACCCUGUUAUUGGUGUAUAUGAAAAUAUGGAGAUGUGAUAUAAUUGUCAUUGAAUAUUGAUAUAAAAAACGAUGUUAUCUUUAAUUGCACAUUAUAUGGGUAAGAUUGAGAGAAUAACUUGAACUAAUGAGAUUAGGAGAAUACAAAAAGAGAAACAAUCGAAUAAAAUAAUACUCGCUGUUUUAUGUACAAUUUUGUCAAACGCAAUUUCAAAUAAUCUCAACGGUUACUUUAACUUCUACUCUAUAAUUAAUUUAAAUCGUAAUGACAAAUGAUAAAAACGCGAUUUUCAGCUGAUAAAUAUCAUUGAUUACUUUUAUGUUCUCUAAUGUUUUUUGUAUAUAUGUAUUGUAAAUGAAUUGUAUUGUUUCCUCAA
Molecule: long non-coding RNA, 494 nt
Filed under: Mytilus galloprovincialis (Mediterranean mussel)
Lineage: Eukaryota; Metazoa; Mollusca; Bivalvia; Mytilida; Mytilidae
Source: RNAcentral